GACGAACGCUGGCGGCGUGCUUAACACAUGCAAGUCGAACGGAAAGGCCCUGCUUUUGUGGGGUGCUCGAGUGGCGAACGGGUGAGUAACACGUGAGUAACCUGCCCUUGACUUUGGGAUAACUUCAGGAAACUGGGGCUAAUACCGGAUAGGAGCUCCUGCUGCAUGGUGGGGGUUGGAAAGUUUCGGCGGUUGGGGAUGGACUCGCGGCUUAUCAGCUUGUUGGUGGGGUAGUGGCUUACCAAGGCUUUGACGGGUAGCCGGCCUGAGAGGGUGACCGGCCACAUUGGGACUGAGAUACGGCCCAGACUCCUACGGGAGGCAGCAGUGGAGAAUGGUGCACAAUGGGCGGAAGCCUGAUGCAGCAACGCCGCGUGCGGGAUGACGGCCUUCGGGUUGUAAACCGCUUUCGCCUGUGACGAAGCGUGAGUGACGGUAAUGGGUAAAGAAGCACCGGCUAACUACGUG
RNAcentral lists this ribosomal RNA (468 nucleotides) under uncultured bacterium. Its description in RNAcentral is "partial 16S ribosomal RNA". It matches the Rfam family "Bacterial small subunit ribosomal RNA", at positions 28 to 507 of the family's 1533-position model. The record is from RNAcentral.